GACGAACGCUGGCGGCGUGCUUAACACAUGCAAGUCGAACGGAAAGGCCCUGCUUUUGUGGGGUGCUCGAGUGGCGAACGGGUGAGUAACACGUGAGUAACCUGCCCUUGACUUUGGGAUAACUUCAGGAAACUGGGGCUAAUACCGGAUAGGAGCUCCUGCUGCAUGGUGGGGGUUGGAAAGUUUCGGCGGUUGGGGAUGGACUCGCGGCUUAUCAGCUUGUUGGUGGGGUAGUGGCUUACCAAGGCUUUGACGGGUAGCCGGCCUGAGAGGGUGGCCGGCCACAUUGGGACUGAGAUACGGCCCAGACUCCUACGGGAGGCAGCAGUGGGGAAUAUUGCACAAUGGGCGGAAGCCUGAUGCAGCAACGCAGCGUGCGGGAUGACGGCCUUCGGGUUGUAAACCGCUUUCGCCUGUGACGAAGCGUGAGUGACGGUAAUGGGUAAAGAAGCACCGGCUAACUACGUG
RNAcentral lists this ribosomal RNA (468 nucleotides) under uncultured bacterium. RNAcentral describes it as "partial 16S ribosomal RNA". It matches the Rfam family "Bacterial small subunit ribosomal RNA", at positions 28 to 507 of the family's 1533-position model. The record is from RNAcentral.